GUGAGGAAUAUUGGACAAUGGGCGCAAGCCUGAUCCAGCCAUGCCGCGUGCAGGAAGACGCAUCUAUGGUGUGUAAACUGCUUUUGUACGGGAAGAAACACUCCCUCGUGAGGGAGCUUGACGGUACCGUAAGAAUAAGGAUCGACUAACUCCGUGCCAGCAGCCGCGGUAAUACGGAGGAUCCAAGCGUUAUCCGGAAUCAUUGGGUUUAAAGGGUCCGUAGGCGGUUUAAUAAGUCAGUGGUGAAAGCCCAUCGCUCAACGAUGGAACGGCCAUUGAUACUGUUAGACUUGAAUUACAAGGAAGUAACUAGAAUAUGUAGUGUAGCGGUGAAAUGCUUAGAUAUUACAUGGAAUACCAAUUGCGAAGGCAGGUUACUACUUGUGGAUUGACGCUGAUGGACGAAAGCGUGGGGAGCGAACAGGAUUAGAUACCCGGGUAGUCC
Molecule: ribosomal RNA, 445 nt
Filed under: uncultured bacterium
Lineage: Bacteria
Description: partial 16S ribosomal RNA
Rfam family: Bacterial small subunit ribosomal RNA
Source: RNAcentral